RNA transcript from Prosopis cineraria, 3293 nucleotides. RefSeq lists it as uncharacterized. NCBI's taxonomy places the organism in Eukaryota, Viridiplantae, Streptophyta, Magnoliopsida, Fabales, Fabaceae. The transcript is spliced from 3 exons. The record is from RefSeq and is a predicted model, not a curated record.
UUCUUUCCCUGUCUAAAUAUAAAUAUCAUGCUCUAAUCAGUUUUCAAUUGAUGUGCCUCUCAAGAAACAUAUUUCUUGGUUUUUCUCUUGAUUCUCUCACUUGUUCUCAAGGAUUGCUUAGCUUUCGUAGCAAAUUGACAUUUGCUGAUAAUCUUGCAUCUCAAUUUCAUUUGUUGCUGUUAAUUGUCAUUCUAAUUUUGUAGCAAAUGGACAACCAAAUUUCCUUUCCUCAAUGCUGCUGUCAAUUGUGAUAUAAUCUUAGUUUUUCCUGUUGCAAUCAAUUCUUGUGGAAAGGGUUCUGAUGUGAGACUAACUGUAGAUAUCUUAUUGUAAUUGUUUUUCAUUAAUGUUUGAAGGUUUAAGAUUCUCAAAUCACUACUUAGUUUUAGCACUCAUGGACAUUCCUCAAUUUUAUUAAGAUACUUGCAAUGCAUUCUUAUAUAUAUAAGCUCCAAGUGCAUUAAAUGAGAACAAAAUUAAACUUAGUGCAUCUUGCUUUGAUAUUCGAUUUUUUAAAUAAUACAUUUGCAAUCUAGUUCAUGAGAAAGGAAACUCUCUUCGUGAAAAAAAUGAAGGGAAGGAGCAGGAAACAGAAUCCACCUCUGGCUCUUGGGGUCCAGGAAAACUUACAACACUCUUAAUAAGAAAUGAGUUUCCAUGAUGAGAGGAAGAUGUAGAUGUUGCAUUAGUAUUAUUGAAUAAGGAUAGGCAAAGAAAAUUAUAUAUGUGGGUGGUAUAAUUAGAAAUCUAAAUGGCCCAUGAUAAGCAUGUUCUCUUAGAUUCCCCAUUUCAUGAUUACUCUUGAAUCAACGUUGUGCCUUGUUUUGAUUUAGCAAAUAUUAUUUUUAACUACAUGUCCCAUUUUGAAUACUCCAUGUAGUCCAAAGCUGCUGCAGGUGACCUUUCUAUCAAAACAUAGGACUGUACAUGAAUGAGGAACUAAUCAUAUAGACUCCACACACAAUCCAAAGAUAUAGAAUCGCUUGUUAUAUAUGAAUAUGAAGGUCCAUCUCAUGGAUUGGAUCAGUCAAAAGGGAAAAGUUCUAUAUUUAUUUUAAUUUUGGAAGGUAUGUUUUUCUAUUGAUUUUACAGGAGAUGCAAUUUAUGUAGAUUGUGAGAAGAGUAAAUGUCAUCAGUGGGAGUGGAGAAUCUGACAGACAUUAAUAACAAGUGAAGGUGUUGGAGAAUAGAUUGAUUGCAAAAAAUAAAAAAUAAAAGGGGUCGAUGAGGCUGCUUCUUUGUCAUGGUGAUUUCAUUUUCAAACUUUAUGAGAGCUCUACUUGACAGAUAUAUAUAUAUAUAUAUAUAGAACAUAGAAAAGCAUGAUGAUGUAGCAUUAAGUCCCAUUUCACACGCUUGUGUGUGGAUGUGGAUUACACUGAUGUGAAUUUGCAUCAGUAUCGAUCAGUUUGGAAAGAUUGGGUGGCUCUAAUUUAGCCUGACAGCAAUUAUGUGCAUGAUAGCAACUUACUUUUACUUCAUCCAUUUCCCUCAUGUCCCUUUCCUUAUGCCAACUAGCUUCCAAGUGGACAAAGUGUACAACAAAUUUGAGGUCUUUAUUAUUAUUUUCCCUCCCUCUCUUUUGGGCAAGAGAUCUGAGGUUUUGUUAAAGCUUAUGGUACAACGGUUCUUUAUGGAUUCAUGGUAAUGAUAUGCUUCAAACUCAUACCCUAAUAGGGCUUUUAUUACUGGAUGCUUGUAUCUUGUGUUACCAAAGUUCAAAGACAUAAUCCUACAUCUGUUUCUAUUUUUUGAUUUUAGUGCAAUGGCUUGAAAAGGGGAGCAAGGCAUUUCAACCAACUUAUUUAUAUACAAUAUGGAGAAGGUGGCAGCAGCUACUUUUAGUUGUUGGAUAUAAUACUAUUUUAUUGAAUGGAUUGUUAACUUCUUCAAGUCAAGUGUGAGCGUAAGUGUUUGUGUUUUGCAUCAAGUUGGUAUUAGAGCAAGGCUCUGAACGCUCUUAGACUGUUCCCACUGCUAGAGAUGGAAGAAAACUCACUAGGAAGCCCAGCAUACUCUGUUUCACGUUGCCAGAGCCCAGAGCCACACUUCAUGCUCAGGAGGGGAAAUCCGGUCAGAAUUAGAAAACCCACCUCGUCCAUAGCACAAGGUGCUGUCAUGCCCGAGAGGAGUCUCCUGCGCAUGGUCUUCACGCGCACACGCGUUGUCCAUGCAACAUCUCUAGUAUAUUUGCUGUUUUCAAGGAGUUUCUUUGGUUCUGAUCAACCUAAGGGCCCGGAAUCAUCAUCCAAAGCUUUAUUUAGGGUAAAAUUUCAUCUUGUGGCUUUCACAGCUUGCUGGCUUAUCUUAUGUGCGAGAAAUCAUUUUUGGAAUUUUAUUUUUUGUUCAUUAUGUCCAGAAUCCUUAAAAGUGAUCUUGAGGAAUCUAAAAGGGUUUAAAAGGAAUAUGUGAAUCACAAAAUUCAAGAGUUGAAGGGGUAUAUGAAUAGUAAGUUUGACAAAGUCUUAAGGGAUCUCAAAUGUUUAAGCCAUCAAAGGGGCAUGAAGAUAACUUUUUCAAGACAGAAUUAUGAUAUCUUCAAGGCACAAGAAAAUGGUAUCCUCAUCAAAAAAGUUACAUCUAUAUCAGUUAUACCAAAAGGGGAUACUAAUAGUAUUCAUAGUCCUGUAAUUGGGAGUGAAGCAGUCCUAUGAAAAAUGGGCGCAUUAAUAUUAAAGUGAAUCAAGGCUUUAAAUUGUUGUCUAAAGAUCAUCACUUAGAGGUAGUGGAGACUUAUGAGUGGAAGCCAGUAAGUGAUCUUGACAAGAGUGUUCAACUUUAUCAGAUUCUUACUUUUAAUCAUCUAUAUGUGCUACACCAUUUACUGCAAAAGCUGUUUUGGUUAUGAAAGAACAUAUUAUUUUUCCAUUUGAUAACAACUUCUAUAGCUACCUUGUUCAUCGGGAAGGUUUUCCAAAUCAUGAUGAUCAUAUUGCUUACUCUCCACACGGUCUCAUUCUCCACUACCUUGUAUGUUGGAAAGGGUCUUCAGACUAAUUGCUACUUCAAAGGAUUCCCUACACCAUGCCCUAGCGGAGUUACUUCAUUUUUUUUUUACUCCCCGAAGGAGAGCUCCAUCAAACAAGGGAGAAAUGAUGAAUAUAGGAAUUCAUAUAUUUUAAAGAAGCUUGCUAUAAGAGGAAAUCUAUCUUAAUUUUAUAUUUUAAUACUUUUUGUUUUUAACUCUAUUUAGCAAGUGGGUUGUUUUAUCAUUUCAUGUAUUAAAUGGGCUACAAGUGGAUGUUUCCUUAUAUGGGAGGAAACCUCUAGUUUAUAUAUGGACGCUUUUGCAA